AGGUCUCCUAAGCUUGACUCCUCUUCGGCAUGAGACUAAGGAAGCUCCCCAAGUUCCAGUCAGAGGUCUGAAUUUGUGAAUUUGCUGAGGCUGAUAGGACAGUGUGGGCUGUCCCUGAAAGUUGGAGGAGGUGACAACAAGGUUGGGGGCCUUCCAUAUGGGUGCCUGCUGUACCACAUAUCCAGUAAAAACAGAACAUUUACGAAUGAUAUUUACAAUGGCCUCCUCCAUGAGAAAGGAAAGAAGAAAGACAUAAAAGAGAACAAAGCCAGGCCAACUCUUAAAAAUUAUUUAAUAGAAAGUCCAAUGUCAAAAUGUAAC
RNAcentral lists this long non-coding RNA (321 nucleotides) under Homo sapiens (human). Its description in RNAcentral is "non-protein coding lnc-EDEM3-7:2". Lineage: Eukaryota; Metazoa; Chordata; Mammalia; Primates; Hominidae. The record is from RNAcentral.